RNAcentral lists this ribosomal RNA (491 nucleotides) under uncultured bacterium. Its description in RNAcentral is "partial 16S ribosomal RNA". It matches the Rfam family "Bacterial small subunit ribosomal RNA", at positions 29 to 506 of the family's 1533-position model. The record is from RNAcentral.
AGUGAACGCUGGCGGUAGGCCUAACACAUGCAAGUCGAACGGCAGCACAGUAAGAGCUUGCUCUUACGGGUGGCGAGUGGCGGACGGGUGAGGAAUACAUCGGAAUCUACUUUUUCGUGGGGGAUAACGUAGGGAAACUUACGCUAAUACCGCAUACGACCUACGGGUGAAAGCAGGGGAUCUUCGGACCUUGCGCGAUUGAAUGAGCCGAUGUCGGAUUAGCUAGUUGGCGGGGUAAAGGCCCACCAAGGCGACGAUCCGUAGCUGGUCUGAGAGGAUGAUCAGCCACACUGGAAAUGAGACACGGUCCAGACUCCUACGGGAGGCAGCAGUGGGGAAUAUUGGACAAUGGGCGCAAGCCUGAUCCAGCCAUACCGCGUGGGUGAAGAAGGCCUUCGGGUUGUAAAGCCCUUUUGUUGGGAAAGAAAAGCAGCAGGUUAAUACCCCGCUGUUCUGACGGUACCCAAAGAAGAAGCACCGGCUAACUUCGU